This 223-nucleotide unclassified non-coding RNA is filed under the name uncultured Tomentella. RNAcentral describes it as "sequence contains ITS2". The record is from RNAcentral. Lineage: Eukaryota; Fungi; Basidiomycota; Agaricomycetes; Thelephorales; Thelephoraceae.
ACACCUCAACUCUUCAUGGUUUUCUAUGAUGAGCUUGGACUUUGGGGGUUUUUGCUGGCCCUAUGGUCGGCUCCUCUAAAAUGAAUCAGCUUGCCAGUGUUUGGUGGGCAUCACGGGUGUGAUAAACUAUCUACGCUUGUGGUUUUCCACCAGGUAACCUUCGGCAGUGGAGGUUCACUGGAGCUUACAGAUGUCUCUCUUCGACGAGGACAGCCCUUUGAAU